GCCCAGCGACAGCGCCGCUGCUCACCUCUCUCUGUUCAGGGUCCUGCAUUCGUGGCAUUCCCACGUGCUGGCAAGACACCAGGAGAGGAUGAGGAGAGCCCAGAGCACAGUCUGAGUCUUUGCCCUUCGCAGUACUCAUAUGUGCAAAGCUCUGGGGAGCAGAUCCAGUGCACAACGGCGGGAUCCAGGAAAGCCUCUGAGGCACAGAGGCUCCCAGGAUUGAAGUCCAGCAAAAGCCUCCUCCAGGAUCACAAGCAGCAGCAGUGCCGGCCAGCCAGGCUGUUAGCAGCAAUGCUUCCAUCUGAUCAGUAAAGACCUCUAUGCAAA
This is a long non-coding RNA of Pezoporus flaviventris, 327 nucleotides long. RefSeq lists it as uncharacterized. The record is from RefSeq and is a predicted model, not a curated record. The transcript is spliced from 2 exons. NCBI's taxonomy places the organism in Eukaryota, Metazoa, Chordata, Aves, Psittaciformes, Psittacidae.